UACGGAGGGAGCUAGCGUUGUUCGGAAUUACUGGGCGUAAAGCGUACGUAGGCGGAUUAUUAAGUCAGAGGUGAAAUCCCAGGGCUCAACCCUGGAACUGCCUUUGAUACUGGUAGUCUAGAGGUCGAGAGAGGUGAGUGGAAUUCCGAGUGUAGAGGUGAAAUUCGUAGAUAUUCGGAGGAACACCAGUGGCGAAGGCGGCUCACUGGCUCGAUACUGACGCUGAGGUACGAAAGUGUGGGUAGCAAACAGG
RNAcentral lists this ribosomal RNA (253 nucleotides) under uncultured bacterium. RNAcentral's name for it is "partial 16S ribosomal RNA". It matches the Rfam family "Bacterial small subunit ribosomal RNA", at positions 524 to 776 of the family's 1533-position model. The record is from RNAcentral.